Molecule: ribosomal RNA, 586 nt
Filed under: uncultured bacterium
Lineage: Bacteria
Description: bacterial SSU rRNA
Rfam family: Bacterial small subunit ribosomal RNA
Source: RNAcentral
ACGGGUGAGUAAUGCUUAGGAAUCUGCCUAUUAGUGGGGGACAACAUUUCGAAAGGAAUGCUAAUACCGCAUACGUCCUACGGGAGAAAGCAGGGGAUCUUCGGACCUUGCGCUAAUAGAUGAGCCUAAGUCGGAUUAGCUAGUUGGUGGGGUAAAGGCCUACCAAGGCGACGAUCUGUAGCGGGUCUGAGAGGAUGAUCCGCCACACUGGGACUGAGACACGGCCCAGACUCCUACGGGAGGCAGCAGUGGGGAAUAUUGGACAAUGGGCGCAAGCCUGAUCCAGCCAUGCCGCGUGUGUGAAGAAGGCCUUAUGGUUGUAAAGCACUUUAAGCGAGGAGGAGGCUACUGAAGUUAAUACCUUCAGAUAGUGGACGUUACUCGCAGAAUAAGCACCGGCUAACUCUGUGCCAGCAGCCGCGGUAAUACAGAGGGUGCAAGCGUUAAUCGGAUUUACUGGGCGUAAAGCGCGCGUAGGCGGCUAAUUAAGUCAAAUGUGAAAUCCCCGAGCUUAACUUGGGAAUUGCAUUCGAUACUGGUUAGCUAGAGUGUGGGAGAGGAUGGUAGAAUUCCAGGUGUAGCGGUG